This 496-nucleotide ribosomal RNA is filed under the name Campylobacter jejuni. RNAcentral's name for it is "partial 23S ribosomal RNA". It matches the Rfam family "Bacterial large subunit ribosomal RNA", at positions 1244 to 1732 of the family's 2925-position model. The record is from RNAcentral. Lineage: Bacteria; Pseudomonadati; Campylobacterota; Epsilonproteobacteria; Campylobacterales; Campylobacteraceae.
UUUGCGUCGAAGGUAUACCGGUAAGGAGUGCUGGAGCGAAUAGAAGUGAGCAUGCAGGCAUGAGUAGCGAUAAUUAAUGUGAGAAUCAUUAACGCCGUAAACCCAAGGUUUCCUACGCGAUGCUCGUCAUCGUAGGGUUAGUCGGGUCCUAAGUCGAGUCCGAAAGGGGUAGACGAUGGCAAAUUGGUUAAUAUUCCAAUACCAACAUUAGUGUGCGAUGGAAGGACGCUUAGGGCUAAGGGGGCUAGCGGAUGGAAGUGCUAGUCUAAGGUCGUAGGAGGUUAUACAGGCAAAUCCGUAUAACAAUACUCCGAGAACUGAAAGGCUUUUUGAAGUCUUCGGAUGGAUAGAAGAACCCCUGAUGCCGUCGAGCCAAGAAAAGUUUCUAAGUUUAGUUAAUGUUGCCCGUACCGUAAACCGACACAGGUGGGUGGGAUGAGUAUUCUAAGGCGCGUGGAAGAACUCUCUUUAAGGAACUCUGCAAAAUAGCACCGUA